This 253-nucleotide ribosomal RNA is filed under the name uncultured bacterium. Its description in RNAcentral is "partial 16S ribosomal RNA". It matches the Rfam family "Bacterial small subunit ribosomal RNA", at positions 524 to 776 of the family's 1533-position model. The record is from RNAcentral.
UACGAAGGGGGCUAGCGUUGUUCGGAAUUACUGGGCGUAAAGCGCACGUAGGCGGCUCUUUAAGUCGGGGGUGAAAUCCUGGAGCUCAACUCCAGAACUGCCUUCGAUACUGUAGAGCUUGAGUUCGGGAGAGGUGAGUGGAACUGCGAGUGUAGAGGUGAAAUUCGUAGAUAUCAGGAGGAACACCGGUGGCGAAGGCGCACACCUGGCCCGAUACUGACGCUGAGGCGCGAAAGCUAGGGGAGCAAACGGG